GUGGUUAAUGAUGCAUCACUUUUUUCCCCGUCUUAUCGACCAUGGUGAUUCCUCAGCUAAUUAGCCAGUUUCACUGAAACCAC
Molecule: small nucleolar RNA, 83 nt
Organism: Tachysurus fulvidraco (yellow catfish)
Lineage: Eukaryota; Metazoa; Chordata; Actinopteri; Siluriformes; Bagridae
Product: small nucleolar SNORD12/SNORD106
Exons: 1
Source: RefSeq, a predicted model, not a curated record